UACGUAGGGUGCGAGCGUUAAUCGGAAUUACUGGGCGUAAAGCGUGCGCAGGCGGUUUUGUCAGCCAGAUGUGAAAGCCCCGGGCUUAACCUGGGAAUGGCAUUUGGGACUGCAAGGCUUGAGUGCGGCAGAGGAGACUGGAAUUCCUGGUGUAGCAGUGAAAUGCGUAGAUAUCAGGAGGAAUACCGAUGGCGAAGGCAGGUCUCUGGGCUGACACUGACGCUCAUGCACGAAAGCGUGGGGAGCAAACAGG
RNAcentral lists this ribosomal RNA (253 nucleotides) under uncultured bacterium. RNAcentral's name for it is "partial 16S ribosomal RNA". It matches the Rfam family "Bacterial small subunit ribosomal RNA", at positions 524 to 776 of the family's 1533-position model. The record is from RNAcentral.